This 69-nucleotide transfer RNA is filed under the name Ictidomys tridecemlineatus (thirteen-lined ground squirrel). RNAcentral describes it as "Spermophilus tridecemlineatus (thirteen-lined ground squirrel) tRNA". It matches the Rfam family "tRNA". Rfam says of the family: Transfer RNA (tRNA) molecules are approximately 80 nucleotides in length. Their secondary structure includes four short double-helical elements and three loops (D, anti-codon, and T loops). Further hydrogen bonds mediate the characteristic L-shaped molecular structure. tRNAs have two regions of fundamental functional importance: the anti-codon, which is responsible for specific mRNA codon recognition, and the 3' end, to which the tRNAs corresponding amino acid is attached (by aminoacyl-tRNA synthetases). tRNAs cope with the degeneracy of the genetic code in two manners: having more than one tRNA (with a specific anti-codon) for a particular amino acid; and 'wobble' base-pairing, i.e. permitting non-standard base-pairing at the 3rd anti-codon position. The record is from Rfam by way of RNAcentral. Lineage: Eukaryota; Metazoa; Chordata; Mammalia; Rodentia; Sciuridae.
GGGGUUGUGGCUCAGCGGUAGAGCACUUGCCUAGCAUGUGUGAGGCUCUGGGUUCAAUCCUCAGCACCA